RNAcentral lists this ribosomal RNA (497 nucleotides) under uncultured bacterium. Its description in RNAcentral is "partial 16S ribosomal RNA". It matches the Rfam family "Bacterial small subunit ribosomal RNA", at positions 28 to 507 of the family's 1533-position model. The record is from RNAcentral.
GAUGAACGCUGGCGGCGUACCUAAUACAUGCAAGUCGAGCGAACAGACGAUGAGCUUGCUCCUCUGACGUUAGCGGCGGACGGGUGUAUAACACGUGUAUACCCUACCUAUAAGUCUGAUAUAACUUCGGGAAACCGGCUCAAAUACCGUAUAAUAUAUUGAUCCACGUGGUUCAAUAGUGAAAUACGGCUUUGCUGUCACUUCUCGAUGGAUCCGCGCCGCAUUAGCUAGUUGUUAAGGUAAAGGCUUACCAAGGCAAGGAUGCGUAGCCGACCUGAGAGGGUGAUCGGCGACACUGGAACUGAGACACGGUCCAGAGUCCUACGAGAGGCAGCAGUAGGGAAUCUUACGCAAUGGGCGAAAGCCUGACGGAGCAACGCCGCGUGAGUGAUGACGGUCUUCGGAGCGUAAAACUCUGUUAUUAGGGAAGAACAAAUGUGUAAGUAACUAUGCACGGCUUGACGGUACCUAAUCAGAAAGCCACGGCUAACUACGUG